CUGGGCGUAAAGCGCGCGUAGGCGGAUAAUUAAGUCAGAUGUGAAAUCCCUGGGCUCAACCUAGGAACUGCAUUUGAUACUGGUUAUCUAGAGUAUGGUAGAGGUGAGUGGAAUUUCAGGUGUAGCGGUGAAAUGCGUAGAGAUCUGAAGGAACAUCAGUGGCGAAGGCGACUCACUGGGCCAUUACUGACGCUGAGGUGCGAAAGCGUGGGUAGCAAACAGGAUUAGAUACCCUGGUAGUCCACGCCCUAAACGAUGUCAACUAGGUGUGUGAGAGUCUAACUCUUUGCGUAUCGAAGCUAACGCGAUAAGUUGACCGCCUGGGGAGUACGGUCGCAAGACUAAAACUCAAAUGAAUUGACGGGGGCCCGCACAAGCGGUGGAGCAUGUGGUUUAAUUCGAUGCAACGCGAAGAACCUUACCUGGCCUUGACAUGUAGUGAACUUACC
RNAcentral lists this ribosomal RNA (449 nucleotides) under uncultured bacterium. Its description in RNAcentral is "bacterial SSU rRNA". It matches the Rfam family "Bacterial small subunit ribosomal RNA", at positions 554 to 1001 of the family's 1533-position model. The record is from RNAcentral.